Molecule: ribosomal RNA, 301 nt
Filed under: uncultured bacterium
Lineage: Bacteria
Description: partial 16S ribosomal RNA
Rfam family: Bacterial small subunit ribosomal RNA
Source: RNAcentral
CAGUAGCCACGGGAAUACGAAGGGGGCUAGCGUUGUUCGGAUUUACUGGGCGUAAAGGGCGCGUAGGCGGACUGAUAAGUCAGGGGUGAAAUCCCAAGGCUCAACCUUGGAACUGCCUUUGAUACUGUUUGUCUUGAGUUCGAGAGAGGUAAGUGGAACUGCGAGUGUAGAGGUGAAAUUCGUAGAUAUUCGCAAGAACACCAGUGGCGAAGGCGGCUUACUGGCUCGAAACUGACGCUGAGGCGCGAAAGCGUGGGGAGCAAACAGGAUUAGAUACCCCUGUAGUCCCUGUCUCUUAUAC